CCACGGGUGGCAGCAGUGAGGAAUAUUGGUCAAUGGGCGGAAGUCUGAACCAGCCAAGUAGCGUGCGGGAUGAAGGCCCUACGGGUCGUAAACCGCUUUUUCACGGGGAUAACACCCUCCACUUGUGGAGGUCUUCAGGUACCGUUCGAAUAAGGGCCGGCUAAUUCCGGGCCAGCAGCCGCGGUAAUACGGAAGGCCCGAGCGUUAUCCGGAUUCAUUGGGCUUAAAGGGAGCGUAGGCGGGCGUUCAAGUCAGCUGUAAAAUCGCGCGGCUCAACCGCGCCCCGCAGUUGAAACUGGACGCCUUGAGUUCACAACAGGCAGGCGGAAUUCGUGGUGUAGCGGUGAAAUGCAUAGAUAUCACGAGGAACCCCGAUUGCGAAGGCAGCCUGCCGGGGUGCGACUGACGCUGAGGCUCGAAGGUGCGGGUAUCAAACAGGAUUAGAUACCCCAGUAGUC
This 458-nucleotide ribosomal RNA is filed under the name uncultured bacterium. RNAcentral describes it as "partial 16S ribosomal RNA". It matches the Rfam family "Bacterial small subunit ribosomal RNA", at positions 339 to 795 of the family's 1533-position model. The record is from RNAcentral.